UACGUAGGGUGCAGGCGUUAAUCGGAAUUACUGGGCGUAAAGCGUGCGCAGGCGGUUUUGUAAGCCAGAUGUGAAAUCCCCGGGCUUAACCUGGGAAUGGCAUUUGGGACUGCAAGGCUUGAGUGCGGCAGAGGAGACUGGAAUUCCUGGUGUAGCAGUGAAAUGCGUAGAUAUCAGGAGGAACACCGAUGGCGAAGGCAGGUCUCUGGGCUGACACUGACGCUCAUGCACGAAAGCGUGGGGAGCAAACAGG
RNAcentral lists this ribosomal RNA (253 nucleotides) under uncultured bacterium. Its description in RNAcentral is "partial 16S ribosomal RNA". It matches the Rfam family "Bacterial small subunit ribosomal RNA", at positions 524 to 776 of the family's 1533-position model. The record is from RNAcentral.